RNAcentral lists this ribosomal RNA (274 nucleotides) under uncultured bacterium. RNAcentral's name for it is "partial 16S ribosomal RNA". It matches the Rfam family "Bacterial small subunit ribosomal RNA", at positions 523 to 796 of the family's 1533-position model. The record is from RNAcentral.
AUACGGAGGGUGCAAGCGUUAAUCGGAUUUACUGGGCGUAAAGCGCGCGUAGGCGGUUUGGUAAGUCGGAUGUGAAAUCCCAGGGCUCAACCUUGGAACUGCAUUCGAUACUGCCUCACUAGAGUAUGGUAGAGGGAAGUGGAAUUCCGGGUGUAGCGGUGAAAUGCGUAGAUAUCCGGAGGAACAUCAGUGGCGAAGGCGACUUCCUGGCCCAAUACUGACGCUGAGGUGCGAAAGUGUGGGGAGCAAACAGGAUUAGAUACCCCAGUAGUCC